This is a long non-coding RNA of Paramisgurnus dabryanus, 771 nucleotides long. RefSeq lists it as uncharacterized. Lineage: Eukaryota; Metazoa; Chordata; Actinopteri; Cypriniformes; Cobitidae. The record is from RefSeq and is a predicted model, not a curated record.
AAACGAGGCUACAAGGAACCACAGAAAGCGGCGAUGCUCCGUGUCUCUUAUGGUUUUCUUCACUUUUUCAGGAGUGACAAAAUAACCCCUCUAUAAUAGAAAAUAAGCUCAAGAUUUCUGCAUUUUCGAAUGGAGCUGCUGAAAGAGAUGUUGAAAACUCAGAUUUGUCCAUGCUGAUGGCCAUGCAGGAGAGUUCAAGCAAACCUGUCAGAAAACAUCUCUAAGGGGCUAUGUAUGAACCAUAUGGCUAGUAAGUAAGACCUCAAACUUAAACACUACUGUUCAAAAGGCUGUGAUUUAUUUAUUUGAGAAAAAUACAGUGAAAACAGAAAUGUUGUGAAAUUAUCACAAUGUAGAUUAUCUGUUUUCUUUAUAAAUAUGCAGUUAAGUGUAAUUUCUGUGAUGCAAAACAAAAUAUUUACUCUCACUUCUAACAAACAGAACUGCAACUUACCAUUUUAGGGGAACUCUAAAAUAUUUGUUAACACAACAAACAACUUUGAUAAUAAUUGAAAAUGUUUCUUGAGCAUCAAAUCAGCGUAUUAGAAUGAACUCUGAUAGAUUAUGUGACACUGAAGACUGGAGUAAUGAUGCUGAAAAUUCAACAUUAAUCACAGGAAUAAAUUACAACUUACAAUAUUUUCAUAUAAUAAAAGACAUUAAAAAAAUCUGAACCUAAACCUUUGAAUGGCAUUGUAAAUUAUAGUUAUGAUGGCUUGUUCCUCCAACUUAAUGAUACUAUUGCAUAUGUAGUUUGUUCCAAAGAGACUG